CAGCGUCCCUUCCCACCCCUUCUGGCGAGAGCAUUCUCCAGGGCUGCUCAGGGUUUGCAUUGCUAAGUGGUACUUUGGGAGAAAAAUAUCUACAUUCGUAUAUAUUUCUCUGCCUCUCCACUCAAAAUCUCUGGGCUUUUAAAUAUGAGAGCCUUUUAUUUCCUUAAAACAGCAGCUGCUUUCAUUUAGUUUGAUGGAUUUAAAGCCUUUAGAGGCGGGAGGAGCGGACGGGAGGUGGUGGAUUUCUCAGGCUACCUGCUUACACCCUCCAAAGGAUGACAUGUACCUGGUGCACAGGAUACGGGAGCUGGGCAAAAACACAUCCUCCCUUCUUCAUCUUAAGACUUAGGAUUUAUAUGUUCUGAGUGUCCUGCGCCACGAAUUGCAACGAGAGAGUCCUGUGGCUGAUUCUGAGCCCUGAGGCUUCUGCUCGCAAGGACUCUGGAGUGUCUGGAGCUCCCCUCAGCACCCGUGGUGGAGGGGACCCCGGGCCUCCAGCCUGCUUGAGGUCCAGCACUGUCCCCUUCGGCUGCCCACCUUCCCCGAGGCUUGUCUGGACUCAAGUUCUUCUCCAGGCAGCUAUCUCGGUCUUCCUCUUCCCUCCUGAGGCCCUGUCUCCAUCUCUACAUCCUGAUACCCUCCAUCAUGGUUCUCAGGAAGAACUCGAGGAGCGGGCUGGAUGGGGGUGGGCCUGGCCCGUUCAGGCCUUGUUUCUGACUUCCACUCACCCUGGCCAGCACUUCCUCCAUCUCACUCCUCGUCAUCCUGGCCGGUCAGCCCAGGCCUCUUCACCUUCUUCCACAAACACUCCUAGCAGGUGGUGGUUUGUUGAAGACACAGGCUGGCUUCCUCCAGCCUCAGUUCCGCCCUCCCUGGAUGGACCAAGGACGGGGCUCCAUGUUCUGGGAUCCAGACUCCACCCCACUUCUCUACUCCUUUGCUCAUCCUUGGAUGUGACCCAUCCUCAGAGGCCUGCAGAGUGAACCUGGCUCAUGGGGCUCCCUCUCAGAGGCCUUCUGUCAUUGGCCCUUCCUGGGAGCGUCUCUCCUGGGGUGGCAUCUCUCCUGAGAGAGCUUCUGAGACCUGCCCCCACCCCAAAGGGCUCCUGGCACUCAGGAUCCCAGCGGCCCCACGAGGGGAGGCGUCUCACGGCUGGAGAGCAUCCAAGCCGUGCUGCAGCUCGCCGAGGCUGGUGAACAGGGAGCCAGGGUGACAGCGUCAUCGCCAGACUCUCAGACCCAGCUUGCUCCUCCCACUCCACACGGGUGACCGGCUGAGGGGAGAACCUUGACCUGCUGUCCUCAGAUACACUCGGGCAAUAACCACCUGCUUGGCGUGCAUACCCAGUGGCUGAACAGGUCCCCAGAGACUCUCUGUGGCCCCUCCCGAGGCCCCUAGGAUCCCUCCAGCCACCCUGUCCAGGCCCUGCCAGGCACUCUCCCCUCUCUCUCUGCUCCCAUACUUCAGGGGGCUGGCACAUCCCUUGAUGCACCAGUAACACCAGAGAGCUUCAGUCGCGUCCGACUCUUGGCGACCCCAUGGACUGUAGCCCCCCAGGCUCCUCUACCCAUGGGAUUUUCCAGGCAAGAACACUGCAAUGGGUUGACAUUUCCUCCUCCAGGGGAACUUCCUGACCCUUGGAUUGAACCUGUGUCUCUUAAGUCUCCUGCACUGGCAUUGGCAGGCAGGUUCUUUCCCAGUAGCGCCACCCUGAUGGGUUCAUGACAGUUCCCUAUCCCCAGCCAUGGCUUGACAGGCUGGACCGGCCCCUCUGCCUCACUCACCCACCCCUGCCCCUCCAGGCCUAACAAGAG
Bubalus bubalis (water buffalo) is the source of this 1814-nucleotide long non-coding RNA. RefSeq lists it as uncharacterized. NCBI's taxonomy places the organism in Eukaryota, Metazoa, Chordata, Mammalia, Artiodactyla, Bovidae. The record is from RefSeq and is a predicted model, not a curated record. The transcript has 4 exons.